CCAGACUCUACGGAGGCAGCAGUGGGGAAUAUUGCGCAAUGGAGGAAACUCUGAGCAGCAACGCCGCGUGAGUGAGGAAGGCUUUCGGGUCGUAAAGCUCUGUCAAAUGGGAAGAACCGUAGUUGGUCUAAUAGCCUUCUCCUGACGGUACCA
RNAcentral lists this ribosomal RNA (153 nucleotides) under marine snow associated bacterium Adriatic42. RNAcentral describes it as "partial 16S ribosomal RNA". It matches the Rfam family "Bacterial small subunit ribosomal RNA", at positions 331 to 480 of the family's 1533-position model. The record is from RNAcentral.